UAGGGAAUCUUCCGCAAUGGGCGAAAGCUUGACGGAGCAACGCCGCGUGAGUGAUGAAGGUCUUCGGAUCGUAAAACUCUGUUAUUAGGGAAGAACAAAUGUGUAAGUAACUAUGCACGUCUUGACGGUACCUAAUCAGAAAGCCACGGCUAACUACGUGCCAGCAGCCGCGGUAAUACGUUGGUGGCAAGCGUUAUCCGGAAUUAUUGGGCGUAAAGCGCGCGUAGGCGGUUUUUUAAGUCUGAUGUGAAAGCCCACGGCUCAACCGUGGAAGGUAAUUGGAAACUGGAAAACUUGAGUGCAGAAGAGGAAAGUGGAAUUCCAUGUGUGGCGGUGAAAUGCGCAGAGAUAUGGGGGAACACCAGUGGCGAAGGCGACUUUCUGGUCUGUAACUGACGCUGAUGUGCGAAAGCAUGGGGAUCAAACAGG
Molecule: ribosomal RNA, 429 nt
Filed under: Actinomycetes bacterium
Lineage: Bacteria; Bacillati; Actinomycetota; Actinomycetes
Description: Actinobacteria bacterium partial 16S ribosomal RNA
Rfam family: Bacterial small subunit ribosomal RNA
Source: RNAcentral